UGGGGUUUCGUUGUCAUCAUACCUUCCUGUUUAAUGUAAACCGUUUUUCGUAAGAGAGAGAGCGGUUCACUCUUCUGUGAUCUCAGGGACCUGGUAUCUCAUAAGCAGGCACAUCCGGACUAGGCAUGGCUUCACACAUGCAGAACGACAGCUCAGCCGGCUUUCUACAUGAGUUCAAGUCAUUCGCCACAGAUGCGAUCCAUGUUGGUUCGGAACCGGAGCAAUGGAACUCUAUGGCCGUAGUGCCUCCAAUUUCAUUGUCGACCACUUUUAAACAACAUAGUCCCGGAAAACAUGCGGGUUUCGAGUACAGCAGGAGUGGAAAUCCCACACGAAACUGUCUUGAAAGAGCGGUUGCUGCUUUGGAUGGUGCACAAUACUGCCUUGCUGUUGCCUCUGGGUUGGCUGCUUCUUUGACCAUCACACAUCUUUUUAAGACUGGAGAUGGAAUUCUGUCAAUGAAUGAUGUUUAUGGAGGAACGAACCGCUAUUUCAGAAAAAUAGCUGCAGAAGUUGGUCUUGAUAUCUCUUUUGCUGACCUCACAAAGCUUGAGGUGCUAAAGGCAGCACUAAAACCAAAUACAAAGAUGGUUUGGAUUGAAACUCCCACAAACCCUACUAUGAAGGUAGUGGACAUUCAGGCCUGUGCAGACAUUGUCCAUGAGCACAACAAGGACACAAUAGUUGUUGUGGACAACACUUUCAUGUCGGCCUACUUCCAGCGCCCCCUGGCUCUUGGAGCGGACAUCUGCAUGUACUCCGCAACAAAAUACAUGAAUGGUCACAGCGAUGUUGUCAUGGGGCUGAUUUCUGUCAACCGUGAAGACCUCUAUGAACGACUGACAUUUUUGCAGAAUGCCCUUGGAGCUGUGCCAUCUCCAUUUGACUGCUAUAUGUGCAAUCGAGGUCUGAAGACACUUCACUUAAGAAUGAAGCAGCACUUUAAGAAUGCACUGGCUGCGGCACAGUUUCUGGAGGCCGACCCACGGGUGGACAAAGUCAUCUUCCCAGGUCUUCCAUCACACCCUCAACAUGAGCUAACAAAGAGACAGUGCACAGGCUGUCCUGGGAUGAUCAGCUUCUACAUCAAAGGAAAACUUGAGCACGCCACAGCUUUCCUUAGCAAUCUAAAGUUGUUUGCACUUGCUGAAAGUCUAGGUGGUUACGAGAGUCUAGCUGAGCACCCAGCAAUAAUGACUCAUGCUUCAGUGAGUGAGAAUGAAAGGAAGGAGCUGGGCAUCAGUGAUACACUUAUUCGUCUGUCUGUGGGCCUGGAGGAUGAGGAGGAUAUUAUUGCUGAUCUUGAACAAGCUCUCAGUGCUGCUGAAGGCCAAAUAAGUGCCCCACUUCUUGCCGUAAGCACCCAAACUGCCCAGCCGUCUAUGCGGCAUCUUUUCAAAAGCUGCCACUCUGCCCAGCUCGGUGCAUUACUCAUGAAAUGAGGGCACACCAGCCGACUUCCAUCCCCCAAGAAUCACCUUCCUGCCGAUCAUCACGCUGCAUCCAAAGAAAUAAGAGUCAAAUCAAGAUAGUCCAGGACAACAGUGAUCCCACAUCUGAAUGAGACCAGGACACCUUUUUUGGCACAUUAUUAAUGUACUUAAAGUAUAUGACAAUUAUGCUUGGGGGGGGCAUUGAUUGAUUUUGUCAGAAAACAAAUAUGCUCAAACUAUUUUAUGAAUCAGCUCAUUUGCCAUGUUUUCAUUCAAAAUACUGGAGAUACUCAGAAAAUACUCAGAUACUCUUUUGCUGCUUUUGCAUUUGUUUUUUUUGUUGUUUUAAUUAUUGCUUGGUGAGGCUGUGGGAUGUUAACCAAGAGAGGCUCAACAAUUAUUACAUUUUAAAUAUAGGAAAAUGUUGGGACUGUAAGGGAAUUCAGGCAUCAUGCAAAUAAUUAUUUUUAUUUUAUUCUUUAUAUUAAGAGAGGAAUCAACAUAUGGUUGAUUCUAAAAAUGGUGCAACAAUAGAUACCUUCAUCAAACAAUGCACAAUAAGUCUUUUUAAAACAAAGAAAAUGCACAGUCACCAUUAGUCAACAUUAAAAUCACAUCUAUUGUUUACAAUUUAAAUUGAUCUUGGCUAGACACUUUUCAAUUGUGAAAGGGUCAUAUUGAAUCUUUGUCUGUGCUACCAGAUUCAUUAAAAGCAAUUUGUAGUCUCUUC
Molecule: RNA transcript, 2163 nt
Organism: Myxocyprinus asiaticus (Chinese sucker)
Lineage: Eukaryota; Metazoa; Chordata; Actinopteri; Cypriniformes; Catostomidae
Gene name: cystathionine gamma-lyase-like
Exons: 13
Source: RefSeq, a predicted model, not a curated record